Molecule: ribosomal RNA, 429 nt
Filed under: Bacillota bacterium
Lineage: Bacteria; Bacillati; Bacillota
Description: Firmicutes bacterium partial 16S ribosomal RNA
Rfam family: Bacterial small subunit ribosomal RNA
Source: RNAcentral
UGGGGAAUAUUGCACAAUGGGCGCAAGCCUGAUGCAGCCAUGCCGCGUGUAUGAAGAAGGCCCUAGGGUUGUAAAGUACUUUCAGUCGGGAGGAAGGCGUUGUUGCUAAUAUCAACAACGAUUGACGUUACCGACAGAAGAAGCACCGGCUAACUCCGUGCCAGCAGCCGCGGUAAUACGGAGGGUGCAAGCGUUAAUCGGAAUUACUGGGCGUAAAGCGCACGCAGGCGGUUGAUUAAGUUAGAUGUGAAAUCCCCGGGCUUAACCUGGGAAUGGCAUCUAAGACUGGUCAGCUAGAGUCUUGUAGAGGGGGGUAGAAUUCCAUGUGUAGCGGUGAAAUGCGUAGAGAUGUGGAGGAAUACCGGUGGCGAAGGCGGCCCCCUGGACAAAGACUGACGCUCAGGUGCGAAAGCGUGGGGAGCAAACAGG